RNAcentral lists this ribosomal RNA (484 nucleotides) under uncultured bacterium. RNAcentral's name for it is "partial 16S ribosomal RNA". It matches the Rfam family "Bacterial small subunit ribosomal RNA", at positions 29 to 507 of the family's 1533-position model. The record is from RNAcentral.
AUUGAACGCUGGCGGCAUGCUUUACACAUGCAAGUCGAACGGCAGCGCGGGCUUCGGCCUGGCGGCGAGUGGCGAACGGGUGAGUAAUACAUCGGAACGUGCCCAGCAGUGGGGGAUAGCUCGGCGAAAGCCGGAUUAAUACCGCAUACGACCUGAGGGUGAAAGCGGGGGAUCUUCGGACCUCGCGCUAUUUGAGCGGCCGAUGGCAGAUUAGCUAGUUGGUGGGGUAAAGGCCUACCAAGGCGACGAUCUGUAGCUGGUCUGAGAGGACGACCAGCCACACUGGGACUGAGACACGGCCCAGACUCCUACGGGAGGCAGCAGUGGGGAAUUUUGGACAAUGGGCGAAAGCCUGAUCCAGCAAUGCCGCGUGUGUGAUGAAGGCCUUCGGGUUGUAAAGCACUUUUGGCGGGAAAGAAAAGGACUGUGCCAAUACCACGGUUCGAUGACGGUACCCGCAGAAUAAGCACCGGCUAACUACGUG